GACGAACGCUGGCGGCGCGCUUAACACAUGCAAGUCGAACGGAAAGGCCUGCUUUCCCUUGUGGAUUGCGGGUACUCGAGUGGCGAACGGGUGAGUAACACGUGAGUGAUCUGCCCCCAACUUGGGUAUAAGCCUGGGAAACUGGGUCUAAUUCCCGAUAGGACUGCAGGGUGGUGCCUGUGGUGGAAAACGAUUUUCUAGUGGUUGGGGAUGAGCUCGCGGCCUAUCAGCUUGUUGGUGGGGUAAUGGCCUACCAAGGCGGCGACGGGUAGCCGGCCUGGGAGGGUGGACGGCCGCAUUGGGACUGAGAUACGGCCCAGACGCCUACGGGAGGCAGCAGUGGGGAGUAUUGCGCAGUGGGCGGAAGCCUGAUGCAGCGACGCCGCGUGGGGGAUGACGGCCUUCGGGUUGUAAACUCCUUUCGACCGCGAGGAAGCCACCUGGUUGGAAGGGUGGUGACGGUAGUGGUAGAAGAAGCACCGGCUAACUACGUG
RNAcentral lists this ribosomal RNA (494 nucleotides) under uncultured bacterium. Its description in RNAcentral is "partial 16S ribosomal RNA". It matches the Rfam family "Bacterial small subunit ribosomal RNA", at positions 28 to 507 of the family's 1533-position model. The record is from RNAcentral.